GGCCCAAUGGUCUAGUAGUAUGAUUCGCGCUUCGGGUUGCUGAAGUGUUUCCGGGAUUGCGCGAGGUCCCGGGUUCAAUUCCCGGUUGGGCCC
Postia placenta MAD-698-R-SB12 is the source of this 93-nucleotide non-coding RNA. NCBI's taxonomy places the organism in Eukaryota, Fungi, Basidiomycota, Agaricomycetes, Polyporales, Adustoporiaceae. The record is from the annotation of a RefSeq genome assembly.